AUGCCAGCCUCAUUCCAGACACCCCCAAACCAGAAACAGCCCAGGAGCCCAUUAACAGAUUCAUGGGAAAAUGUAUUGCAGUCUAUUCCGUCACUGGACUCUUAUGCAGCAGUGAAGACAGGUAUCCCAUCACUGGACUCUUACGCAGCAGCGAAGACAAGUGUCCCAUCACUGGACUCUUACGCAGCAGCGAAGACAGGUGUCCCAUCACUGGACUCUUACGCAGCAGUGAAGACAGGUGUCCCAUCACUGGACUCUUACGCAGCAGUGAAGACAGGUGAAUUGCAAGCUAUUCCAUCACUGGACUCUUACGCAGCAGUGAAGACAGAUGUCCCAUCACUGGACUCUUACGCAGCAGUGAAGACAGGUGAAUUGCAAGCUAUUCUAUCACUGGACUCUUACACAGCAGUGAAGACAGAUAUCCCAUCACUGGACUCUUAUGCAGCAGUGAAGACCGGCGAAUUGCAGUUAUGCAUAGCACGGAUGCCUCUCUCAAACAAUCACGUUGAACAGAAGUGGCCAGGCUCGAUUCUGUGUGAUCCCGUGUGGAUCACAAACAGGCAACAUAAAGGAUGGUGUUUGGGGGUGGAUGUUGAGGGAGAGAAGGGGGUUCUCUUCAUCACAAUGGUCUCCAGGAAGGGAGGGACAGCGGCUGGGAGGCCAGGGGCCUCUGGGAUGCUGAAAAAAUUCUUUUUCUUCUUCUUCUUUUUUUUGAGAUGGAGACUCACUGUGUGGCCCAGGCUGGAGUGCAGUGGUGGGACCUCAGCUCAGUGCAACAUCUGCCUCCCGGUUCAGGUGAUUCUCCUGCCUCAGCCUCCCGAGUAGCUGGAAUUACAGGUGCCCGCCACCACGCCUGGCUAAUUUUUCGUAUUUUUAGUAGAGGCAGGGUUUUCCCAUGUUGGCCAGGCUGGUCUUGAACUCCUGACCUUAGGUGAUCUGCCCACCUUGGCCUCCCAAAGGGCUGGGAUGACAGGCAUAAGCCACUGCACCCAGCCCAGAAUGGUUAAUUUUAUGUUACGUGAAUUUCACUCAAUAAAAAAAAGACAGGAAAGGGAGAGAAAGAAAGAAAAGGGAGGGAACAGCAGGGGCCCAGGGGAGUCAGGGUGCCUGCCUGUGAGUGUCCCCGGCAGCCUACCUCUUCUCCCCACUUCCCCUACCUGGAGGCCCUGGAAGCACAGGGCUGUCCCCUGGAGAAGUCCGGAGUGACUUUUAAAACACAGAUAUGGGGACCCAUCUGAUUCUGAGUUUCUGGUCAACAGUGCUCUGUGUGGUUCAGAAGUUGCAUUGUCUCAGGACAGAAACAAAGUCCAGCUAAUACCUGUCAAGGCCCGGCCUCUUGCCAGGGCCUUGGCCCAACUUUCUCCUUCACUCCCCCCAAAGGCUCUGGGAAGCAGGGUACUUACUGAUGGUAAGAAAUGAAGCUCAGAGAGUUUCAGCACCAAACUCAGCAUCGUACCACCAGAGCACAGGAAGGCUCGGGACGCACAGCACCAGAGCAUGAGGGGACAGGGGUCUCACAGCACCGGAGCAUGGGAGGACGCGGGACUCACACCCUCAGAAAUGGGAGGAAACGGGACUCACGGCACCGGAGCACAGGAGGAUGCAGGACUCACAGCCCCGGAGCACGGGGGGACAUGGGACUCACACCCCUGGAAUAUGGGGGGACGUGGGACUCACACCCCCGAAGCAUGGGGGACGGGGGACUCACAGCACGUCUUUAACUCCCAAUCCCAGCUACUUGGGAGGCUGAGGCAGGAGAAUUGUUUGAACCCGGGAGGCAGAGGUUGCAGUGAGCCGAGAUCGUUCCCCUGCCCUCCAGCCUGCGGCACAGAGCGAGACUCUUCGAUCAUUUCCCUUUACUCCACGGCUACUUUGGUUUUUCUUUUUGAGAUGGAGGGCUGGAGUGCAGUGGUACAAUCUCCGCUCACUUCAACCUCCGCCUUUUUUUGUAUUUUUAGUAGAGAGAGGCCUAGAAGGCUCAGCUGCAGCCACCUGCCCCGCAGGGAAUUCCUGGCCCAGAAAGGGUAAAAUCAGACUCUCAACUCAUUCAGCAGAGUGGCUUGUCCCAGGUCUGCUGUAACAAGUGACCACCAAUGGGCAGCUUAAAGCAACAGAAGCUGGCUGGGCCCAGUGGCUACACCUGCAAUCCCAGCGCUUGGGAGGCCGAGGUGGGAGGAUCGCUUGAAGCCAGGAGUUCAAGUCCCGGCUGGGCAGCAUAGUGAUACCCCCAUCUCUAAAAAAAGAUGGUACACACCUGUAGUUCCAGCUACUCUGGAGGCUGAGGCGGCAGGCUUGCUUCAGUCCAGGAAGUCAAGGCUAUAGUGAGCCGUGAUUGCGCCACUGCACUCCAACCUGGGCAAGAGAGUGACAGCUUGUCUCAAACAACAAUAAUGACAACAAAAACACCCAGAAACAUAUCACCUCACAGUUCCGUAGGCCAGAUGUCUGAUAGCAGAGUCACCAAGUGGAAGUCAAGGCGUGGGCAGGGCCGCAGGCUGCAGGGGAGGCUCCCACUGCCUCUUCCAGCUUCCCAGGCCCCAGGCCUCUGUGGUCCCACGCCUCUCCUCUUCCGUCUGUGUCCAAUCUCCCUCUGCCUCCCUCUUAGGAGAACUCAUGGUCACGUCGGGUCUGUCCAGAUGCUCCUUUUCUCUCCAUCUUUAAUUCAAUCAUGUCUGCAAAGACCUUUCACACGCAGUCACGUUCACAGGGUUAGGGUUAGGGACGUGGAUGUCUUUUAGGGGCCAUUUUCAGUGGCCACGGCAAGUGUGAGUGAGGGGACCAGGCCCUGGUUUCUGAGCCCCUGUGGUGUGCUCAGUCCCUAUGAGGUUAUACGUGAGGUAAGAAUAGUGGACCCCAGCGUGGAACCUGUUUCCGUGUCUCUUUUUCUCCCUCUAAGGCAGCACAGGCAGCUCAGCUGUGCCUUCCCAAGCAGGUGAGGCUGGCUGAGCCCUCUGGGUUUCUCCAUCCUUGCCUGUAAGUAGGGCUGAAAAAUAGCUUUUUCGCCCAGGUGCUAGGAAACGAGAUGCUGUGUAUAAAGUGACUGGCGGCUGCCUGGCCUGGUGGUAAAGCUCCUGGAAAUGGGUGACUGCAUGAGUCCAGGCUCACACUGCUCUAAAGAACUACUGGAGAAUGGGUCAUUUAUGAAGAAAGAGGUUUAAUUGGCUCACAGUUCCACAGGCUGUGUAGGAAGCGUGGCUGGGAGUCCUCAGGAAACUCACGAUCAUGGUGGAAGGGGAAGGGGAAGCAGGCACGCCUUCACAUGGCAGCCGGAGAGAGAGCGAGCGAGCACGAGGCCGGAGGCGCCAUGUACUUUAAAACCAUCAGAUCUCGCGAGAACUCACUGUUGUGAGAACAGCAAGGCGGAAACCGCCCUGAGAUCAGUCACCUCCCACCAGGCCCCUCCCCCAACCGUGGGAAUGACAAUUCAACACGAGAUGGGGGCGACACAGACCCGACCGUGGGACUGACAAUUCAACACGAGAUGGGGCGACACAGACCCGACCGUGGGAAUGACAAUUCAACACGAGGUGGGGCGACACAGACCCGACCGUGGGAAUGACAAUGCAACACGAGGUGGGGGCGACACAGACCCGACCGUGGGAAUGACAAUUCAACACGAGAUGGGGCGACACAGACCCGACCGUGGGACUGACAAUUCAACACGAGGUGGGGCGACACAGACCCGACCGUGGGAAUGACAAUGCAACACGAGGUGGGGGCGACACAGACCCGACCGUGGGAAUGACAAUUCAACACGAGAUGGGGCGACACAGACCCGACCGUGGGACUGACAAUUCAACACGAGGUGGGGGCGACACAGACCCAGACCACAUCAGUGGCUUUCAGGAGAUGUGAGUAGCAAUGCAGGCGCGGCCCCCUUGGGAGAAAGUGUCUGUGGGAAGCGCUCCGUGAACUCUGCGGUACUCACCAUGGGCUGGGCGCGUUUUCAGCGGGGGCGGCAGGACCUUGGGGAUGGGGCCACACUCUGGGGAAGCCUGUGUGGGGGAGUGAGCCCCGCUCUGUCUGGGCAUAGGCAGCCCCAGCACCGCGGAGGGUGUUCCUUAGGUCCGGACGCGGGCACAGUCAGGCGUGAAUUCUGGGCCCUGAGCUGGGGCCAUCAUCUCCUUCCCUCUGACAGCGAGCACAGGGGCCAUGGCGGGUGCCGCUAGAGUGCUGUGCUGUGCCGCGUGCCCUCAGAGCUUGGGGACCUUCCACUGAGCUGUGUGAGUCUCCGUCCUGGGCUCUGUGGGGACUAGGAUGAUAAUAAGAUGAGGAUCAGUGGCUUCCAGGAGCCCCAGUCUUAGAGGUGGAGCCAAAGAGCUGGGGGGGGG
This 4331-nucleotide long non-coding RNA is filed under the name Macaca mulatta (Rhesus monkey). Its description in RNAcentral is "lncRNA (ENSMMUG00000062197.1)". The record is from RNAcentral. Lineage: Eukaryota; Metazoa; Chordata; Mammalia; Primates; Cercopithecidae.